GCUGCAGUAUCUUGACUGUACAAAGGUAGCAUAAUCAUUAGUUUCUUAAUUGGGAGCUGGAAUGAAUGGUUGAAUAAGGAAAUGACUGUCUCUCUUUAAUUGAAUUGAAUUUUAUUUUUAAGUUAAAAAGCUUAAAUUUUAUAAAAAGACGAGAAGACCCUAUAGAGUUUAAUAAAUUUAUAUUUUUAUAGUUUAGGGUUUUACUUUAUAUAAAUGUAUGUUUAUUUAGUUGGGGUGAUUCUGGAAUUUGUUAAACUUCCUAUAAUUAGUCAUUGAUUUAUGAAUAUAUGAUCCUAACUUUUAGAUUAAAAGAAUAAAUUACCUUAGGGAUAACAGCGUAAUUUUUCUGGAGAGUUCUUAUCGAUAGAAGAGAUUGCGACCUCGAUGUUGGAUUAAAGUUAAAUUUUGGUGUAGAAGCUUUAAUUUUAAGACUGUUCGAC
This 440-nucleotide ribosomal RNA is filed under the name Zonitoschema atrimembris. Its description in RNAcentral is "partial large subunit ribosomal RNA". It matches the Rfam family "Bacterial large subunit ribosomal RNA", at positions 1930 to 2585 of the family's 2925-position model. Lineage: Eukaryota; Metazoa; Arthropoda; Insecta; Coleoptera; Meloidae. The record is from RNAcentral.